AGUAACACGUAGGUAAUCUACCUUCGGGUGGGGAAUAACCCAGGGAAACUUGGGCUAACACCGCAUAAUGCAGCGGCACCACAUGGUGACAGUUGUUAAAGCGGGGGAUUUUAGGACCUCGCGCCUGAAGAGGAGCCUGCGGCGGAUUAGCUAGUUGGUGAGGUAACGGCUCACCAAGGUAACGAUCCGUAGCCGGCCUGAGAGGGCGGUCGGCCACACUGACACUGACAUACGGGUCAG
This 240-nucleotide ribosomal RNA is filed under the name uncultured bacterium. Its description in RNAcentral is "partial 16S ribosomal RNA". It matches the Rfam family "Bacterial small subunit ribosomal RNA", at positions 109 to 334 of the family's 1533-position model. The record is from RNAcentral.